Molecule: long non-coding RNA, 817 nt
Organism: Engraulis encrasicolus (European anchovy)
Lineage: Eukaryota; Metazoa; Chordata; Actinopteri; Clupeiformes; Engraulidae
Exons: 3
Source: RefSeq, a predicted model, not a curated record
GUAGGGUUGGAGAUCUUUGAAAAACGGUUCCUGUGAGCUAUAUUUUUGAAAAUACACAGCCCGCCUCUCCCUUCAGCCCUCCCCUCAAAGCCACGCCUUCGAAACACAUGAACGCGCAUGCAGUCUGUCAAGUGUUCGGAUUAUCCCGGGAACCCACGAGAGCUCACGAGGCGGGGGCGGGCUAGAAGCCACGACAAAUCGAUUAGCCAAGCUAACUUCCAGCCAUGGCACUGUCUCCGGCUACGACCUUCCACGACCACGAGAGCUCCAGCUCUGACUUUCCUGGCCCAUCACAAUCAUAACGACCUAACAGCCCAGUAGGACCGAUGGCCAGAGAUGGAGGAGGAGGAAGAUAGACGCAGCAGAGGUCGGGGGUAUUGAUUAGGGAGACUCCAACAGAAUUGACGCCCUGCUAACUGCCUUGAUUCAAUCAUUGAAUUUGAAGCAAUCCCAUCGGUUACUGCAGCGUGCCCUGACCCGUGACCCCAGUUUGAUGUUCGACCUGGCACAUGACAUCUGGUCCUCAGUCACAGCCCAGUAGCACAACCAACCUGGCGCCUCUGCGCAAUCUGUAAGGAGAUGCCCAUGAACAUUGAAAGGAAAUGCUGUGGUGUUCUCAGUUUUGAUAAGACUUUGGGCUGAUGUAGGACCAGGUGAGAGAAACGGUCUCUUCAGGCAUGCAGCCUACAGACAGUAUGGGGCACUUGAACAGGGCUGACGUUGUAAUACACAGUACAAUACCCAGGAUUAGCCAGGGUUACCCUGCUCCACUAGAGCAAUAUAAAAGGUUUAUACAGAGUAUGGUAUAAAACACACA